UACGUAGGGGGCAAGCGUUGUCCGGAUUUAUUGGGCGUAAAGAGCGUGUAGGCGGCCAUACAGGUCAGCUGUGAAAACUCGAGGCUCAACCUCGAGACGUCGGUUGAAACCGUAUGGCUAGAGUCCGGAAGAGGAGAGUGGAAUUCCUGGUGUAGCGGUGAAAUGCGCAGAUAUCAGGAGGAACACCCGUGGCGAAGGCGGCUCUCUGGGACGGUACUGACGCUGAGACGCGAAAGCGUGGGGAGCGAACAGG
This 253-nucleotide ribosomal RNA is filed under the name uncultured bacterium. Its description in RNAcentral is "partial 16S ribosomal RNA". It matches the Rfam family "Bacterial small subunit ribosomal RNA", at positions 524 to 776 of the family's 1533-position model. The record is from RNAcentral.